Molecule: long non-coding RNA, 1069 nt
Filed under: Meleagris gallopavo (turkey)
Lineage: Eukaryota; Metazoa; Chordata; Aves; Galliformes; Phasianidae
Description: lncRNA (ENSMGAG00000019913.1)
Source: RNAcentral
AUAUCAUAUAUGAGUUCUGAUGACUUCCUGAUUUGUACUCUUUCAGAGAAGUGACUACAGUAGGUAGAACCAGAACUGACAGUGGGGUAAAAAUGUCAUACUGUCUAGUGAUGAAGAAGGAUUUGCAGCAUUCCAUUUUAAGUAAAGAGGACAAUUGACUGCCAAGAGCACGGAAAUGUUAUGAAUAGGAAUAAAAAUAAAUAAGAUUUUAUUUAAAAAGAACAAUCUAGUAUGUAAAGAGCAAUUUUUUUUCAUCUGAAAAGAUUAUUUCGAAUAAUAUUGAAUGUAAAAAUCAAAUGAUUUUAACAGAAAGACCAGUGUGAAUUUUCAGUCAAUACUAUUUUAUCUGGUGCAUGCAAAACCUCAGAGGCAAUAGCACUAAUUAAGAAGCUAAAUUCAGUAAUGACACAAGGCAGAUUAUAGAGCACAUUCUGUGUAGGUAUCAAUUCUACAUUUAGAGCAGAUGUAGGGUGAUAGAUGCACCUCAUGCGAGUAAAAAAAGAAAGAUUAGUUAAGAAGGACAGGCCUAUUCAGUUUGUUGCCAUUACGGUACAUAAAAGAAAGGUAUUUAUCUUAAUGGUUUUCCCAACUUAACUCACACUAUUCAUGGAAAUUCUUUAGACACUUACAAAGAAGUAUUGUUUUCUUUAUUGAACAAUGUAACUAAACAAUCUCCUUUUCCUUGUGCAACAACAAUAAAUCCUACUCAAUUGCUUUCAAUUGACUCCAAAAAUAGUGCAAGGUUUUUCUCUGGUUUGCAGAACCUGGUGGUGGGGAGGUCAAGAUUCAGUGAGAACUUGCAGUAGAGCAAUGAGGGAUGGAAGAAGAGAGGCCUGCAAUAUGUAAUGUUUUCAGGAUGAUUUGAGUAUUCCUAUGCAUAUAAAUACUAAUUUCUCUCCAACUUGGAAGAAGGAGGGUAAAAACACAAGAUAUUCCCAAUAUUAUGUUAAGGAGAAGAUUUCCACACUGGAUGUCAGAGGAUAAUAUUUUGGACAUAUAUCAACUAAAAAAUCAAAUGAAGUCUCUGAAGCAUUUUGAGAAAAGUCUGCCAGUACUGCUGAUGUUAUGA